CAGCCUGCAACGUGUGAGUCAUAAGGGGCCAAUCUGUGCCAAGGGUUGACCGCGUGCCUCCAUUAUUGAGCGUGUUCAGGGUCCAAGUUGUUUCGUGUUGAAUUUCCUUUCCUUUCCUAUUUCGAUACAAAUACAACUUUUGCGAUGGAUGUUGUGGUCCAGUCAUUGGGCGCAGUUGUUGCCUUAAUCGCUACUGGUUUGCGCUCUUUCAGUGACUUGUUUUUGACGCAGCCAUCGAGGGCCACUCUCAAACAUUUAGAGGAGACUGACCUCAAACCAUUGACAGGAGAGCGUAAGCCUUUGAAGGCCAAACGUUUAUGGGAGAAGUCUGGAGCUGUUAUCAUGGCAGUAAGGCGGCCUGGAUGAUUUUUGUGCAGAGAGGAGGCCGCUGAGCUGUCCUCUCUGAAGCCCCAGCUGGAGGAGCUCGGGGUCCCUUUGUAUGCUGUAGUGAAGGAGGACAUCGGCACAGAGAUCCAGAACUUCAGACCCUACUUCAAUGGGGAGAUCUUCAUGGAUGAAAAGAGAUGUUUCUAUGGGCCCCGUGAGCGUAAGAUGGGUCUGUUGGCGUUCCUCCGUCUGGGCGUGUGGAUGAAUGGUCUGCGAGCCUUCAAGAACGGCUUCUUAGGGAAUGUGUUUGGAGAAGGCUUUGUGCUGGGUGGGGUGUUCGUCAUUGGAGCAGGCCAGCAGGGUGUACUGCUGGAGCACAGGGAGAUGGAGUUCGGGGAUAAGGUCAACAUUCUGGAUGUCCUGAAAGCUGCCAGAAAAGUACAAACUGAACUUGUGUCUUUGGAGAAGAAGUAAUGUGCCUUUUGCGAGAAACUGAAACGACAAAUUCCACCCAAUUUAGGAGGUAGAAGGGGUGGGUAGAUGCAGUCUUGUUUGUAGUUGCCAUGUUCUCUCUGGGAUCUUUAGGGGCUUGUCUGCUGAUGUGUAGUUGCCGUGUUGUCUGAGUGUGUUUAUGAUGGUCUGUGUCUAAACUCUGUGGAGGGACCAGACUUGAUGCUUUACACAAGUCUCCCCAUUUGGUCGACACACAGCAGGCGGGCUACCUGAAAGACCUCUGUUUGACAAUAAAGAUCUCGUUAUGCAUCA
Salmo salar (Atlantic salmon) is the source of this 1092-nucleotide RNA transcript. It is a transcript of the gene named peroxiredoxin-like 2A, with no coding region annotated. NCBI's taxonomy places the organism in Eukaryota, Metazoa, Chordata, Actinopteri, Salmoniformes, Salmonidae. The record is from RefSeq and is a predicted model, not a curated record.